This 3198-nucleotide unclassified non-coding RNA is filed under the name Pomacea canaliculata. RNAcentral's name for it is "protein SON-like, transcript variant X2". Lineage: Eukaryota; Metazoa; Mollusca; Gastropoda; Architaenioglossa; Ampullariidae. The record is from RNAcentral.
UAACACUAUCGGAGAUAACUCAUCGUUUCCACCACACUAUCUCCCGCUGACUUCUACACUGUUGUUUUCCUAACGAUGGAUGGAUAUUUUCAACUGUGGAUGGAUCUUUCACUAAUCAACCUGGGAUGACAUUGACUUCCUUGGAGACAGUUGAUUGUACAUGGAACUACCAUUCUUCUUUCAAUGGCUGAUUUAUCCUUUACCAGUUCCAGCCUACCAGGGGAAAAGAGGAAACUUUCAAGCAAAACCUUAGAGAAGAGAGCAAUCAAACAUAAAAGAUUUGAUACAAUACAGCAACAGAAGCUGUCAGAAGAUGCAUCCUCUUGCUCAUCUAGUACUUCCGCAACUCUGCUAUCAUUGGAUUCAUCACCGGCAUGCUCUACAGGUGCAUUAUUGCCAGUACAAACGGAAAGAGAAAAUACUUUAGGUGCAGGCAUGCUGAAAAGCAUCAGUCUUGUACAAAGUCGAACAAGUGACUCCUUUUGUGCUGCUCAAGGGGCAUCUGUAAACAAGCCUUCCGUGAAUAUGCUUCUAAGAAACUCACUUGAGCAGAGUAGAGCCAAAUCUGGCAUCGAAGACUGCAGUAAUACGCAUGACUCUGCUUCAGAUACAUGUGAUCAGGCUGCUCGAGCUAAAGGCUCACAAACUAGCAUUGUUGAUGAGCUGUUCAAAGAAUUUAUUGCUGCCAAAAUGAAGCAAGUAUCUAAUGGAUCCAACAAUCCUAGUGUGAAACUGGUGCCAAGUGCUUGUAGGAAUGAGCAUGGAGCAGCUUCAGAUGACCCUGACCCUCUGGCUGUUUCUAUGGAGGAAAUCAACAGGUUAUUGGAUGCAGAGAUCACUUUUAUUCAAUCGCGAAGCACUGCAUCUUUGCAAGAUAUGGAUUCUGAAAAUAAUGAGGAAAACAGUUGUACAGAAACCUUGACAGCUGCUCAUAGUCCAGGGCAUCUGCCAUCCGAAUUCUUAGCCUCUGAUUUACAAGAGACUGCUACUGUAUCUGCAUCUACAAAAAUACCUGUGCAUAGAUUGUCUGCUCUUGUGUCUGACUUGAACAGUGGCAUUGAGAGAAACGAGAAACCAGUGAAGGUAUCCACACUUUCAUGUCACUUGCCUACCCUUGAGAAUAAAGAUGGGGUCACUUUGGCUGCAGAAACUAUUACUGAAGUUUGUCUUCCUGGAACCAAUGCAGAAAAGAACAACAUCCAGGUGAUGGUAAGUGGUGACAGUGAAGGACGUCAGGGUCAGAGGGUAGAGUCUAGACCUGUUUCUUUGCUUGGCAAAAAGCCUCAGGUGAAGAAACUUGAUAUAGCCAUCAGACAAGAGAGCUUAGCCCUCAUCAUGGGAGCAGCCAAGAUGACCUCAAGCAAGACAUUAAAGGAUGGAGAGGUAGCGUCUUCAAGUGAUAUUGAGGAAGAUAAACCCCAAACUGCCAGCCCGAAGGAGAAGGAAGACAAUGCAAGUGAUGAAAAUGAAGUAUCUGAGACAGGUUCAUUGUCAGAUACAGAUGAGGAUAAAAGUGGAGAUAAGGGCUCUUCCAAGUCAAAGAAAAAGAAGAAACAUAAGCACAAGCAUAAAAAAAAGAAGAAGCACAAAUCCCAGAGCAAGGACAGGAAGGAGCAGGAUAAGCACUCUUUAGAAAAGGAGAUGAAAAUUGCCAAAAAUAAAAUAAAAGAUGGCAAAACAAGAAAUGACGCUGAAGGGGCAACGGAUAAGAAGCACAGCAAGGAGAGGAGAGGAUCAGGCAGUAGUAAAAUUUCCCAUUCUUGUUCACGCUCGCCAUCACAAAGCAAGAAGGAGAGGAGAUCAAGAUCUCCUAGAAACUCACACAGAACCAGAUCCCAGAGCAAAGAAAGAAAAAGAUCAAGGGAGAGAUUUGACCCUUGGGAUGCAAGAAAUUAUAGAGACCGGAAGUGCUCAUCUCACCAUUCCAAAAGGACACAAAGUCGUUCUCGCAGUAGGUCACAUAACAGAUCUUGUGACAGGUCAAGGCGGAGGUCACGAGAUAGGUCCUCGGAAAAGAAGCAGCACAGAUCUCAUGGGCGCUAUCGUUCACAUGAUCCAGAGAGGUCUUCUCAUGAAAAAGAGGACCAUAAGGAUUCCUUGGAUGAUCUUCGAAUCAGAAUUGAUAAAAACAAACUCAGGAAAAUUGCAAUUGCUAAUGCUUUGGCCAACAUGGAAUCAGGCCAAGGGCCGCCUGUGGACAUUUCUACCAUAAAGUGUGGAGGAAAAUCUAUUGCAGAAUUGACAGACUUCUGCAAACGAAUCAGUGAGCGAGAGAAGGAGCAGCAGGCUGGUCACUUGUCAGACAGUGGCAGUAGUGAUGCAGAGGCCAACACCAGUGAGGCUGAAGACAGUCUUAUUCACCAUCCCUUCAAGUUGCGAGAUCCUUCCACUGUACCCAACAUUAUUAUGAACAUCAGGAAUGCUAAGCAGCUGCCAGUGCUGAGUCCACAAGAGAAACAAGCGCAGGCUGCAGUAUUGCGCUCACAGUUUCCUGUCUCCAGUGGAGUUCAGCACCGCACCAAAGAGUCUGAAUGGGUUCCUGUAACGCCGACCACUGCAGUGACAGCCACCACUGUGACAACAACCAGCAGCACACCCAGUGUGAUUACCACAUUCACAGAACCUGUCAGACUCUCACAGACUUUGCCAAUGAACCAAGUACCAGCAACUCCAGCUGAGCAGAGUGUAUUUCCUGAGGUCAUCCAACAGAGCAUAGAUAUCGGAUCCAUCAUUUCUGAGCGCCUGCAGGCGGUGAGGAAGCUUCAGGAGAAUCCUUUUGAUGUUCAGGCACUGUCAUCCAUGCACAAGGCUCAAGAAAAGGCUAAUCAAUGGGCAGCAUCCAAGCAACUCCCAGGACAGUUUCUAGGCAGCACAGGUGUUCAAUGUUUGACACCACAAGAACUAGCUGGACCUGACAAACGAAAUCAGGCUUGGGCCAGAAAAGUUGUACACAGGUGUUUAUUGAUGACGAGCCGUUCCAUUUGAGAGAGGAGAGUCAGUGCUCUUUAAUCUCUGCACUUGAGCUCUCUCUCAACAUGCUUGAUGGCAAUAGGCAAGAGUGGAUCAGUUCAAGACAGCAGCACCAGUGCAAGGAGGCAUUGGCAUGUUCCUGCUGCAGAAGAUGGGGUGGAAGCAUGGCGAGGGCCUAGGCAAGCACAGUGAAGGCAGCAAAGAGCCAUUGCUGCUUGACAUCAAGAU